Non-coding RNA from Schizosaccharomyces pombe (fission yeast), 1331 nucleotides. Lineage: Eukaryota; Fungi; Ascomycota; Schizosaccharomycetes; Schizosaccharomycetales; Schizosaccharomycetaceae. The record is from the annotation of a GenBank genome assembly.
CUACCCUCGGGAGGGAAUGGAAACCGGUUUAAUGCGACCUCCAUCAAUGUUAAACCCAAAGACCAUAUAUCUGACGAUAUAGUAUAAGAUCCCCCAGAAAUUCGUUCAGGCGCCAUGUAAUACGAAGUUCCAGUGAAUGUGCCAGCGAGAGAGUUAACCAAUUCUCCAGAUACACCAAAAUCGCAUAACUUCACUUGACCUUUUGACGUCAGAAGGAUAUUUGAUGGCUUAAUAUCACGGUGUAUUAUUUUCCUGUCAUGUAAAUAGCUUAAACCGCUAAGGACACCGAAUGCAAUCUUGCCCAAUGGUCGUUCUCCAGUGCGUCCACCUUGACUGCGUACGCGUUUGUAUAUCGCGUCGAGAGAUCCUGCUCCGCAAUAUUCCAUAGCUAUGUUUAACUGACACUCUGCGUUAUUGUAGCAAGCGCCAUAAUAUUUAACGAUGUAAGGAGAGGUACAACUUCUGUUGAUUUUUAACUCUCGAAGGAGUUGCUUUUGUAAAGCGGUAUUCGGAGCAGCUAAUACAGUUUUCAUAGCGAAAAUCAUCUGAGUCCCACGAAUUCUGCAUUUCCUUACAGAGCCACUAACACCUUCACCUAGACUGUUCAUGUACAAAAUACCUCCAUUUGUAACCAAUUCAUGUAGGUGAUCAUCAUCAAGUUCUUCCAGAAAGGAAGGAACAAAUGUUUUACUAUCCCGGCUCUCCUUUCGCUGAGUUAAUUUCGACUCGCUAGAAAACACCAGGUCUGUAAUCUCGACAAUUCCUUGAUUGUCAUUACGUUCAGGAUGACUUAUAUAUUCUUCAGAGAACCCAUUACUGGUAUCUAAGUUCAAGACAGGUUUUUUGGACAUAGAGGCAUGGGCGCUUUCUUCGAUAUUUUUUCAAUUUGUAGAAAGAGUGACAAGAGAUGACUGAUACCAAGUCCAAAAGUUUGUUUGUAUUUUUAACAAACUUCAAUUUUUAUUCUUCUUUUCCAAAAACGCAAGGAAAGUAAAUUCUAACGUAUGGUCUUCCCGCUAAAUAAACCUACCAAUUAUAAACUUUUUUGAAGUUUUUGCUUCCUGAAUUAGAAAAUUAGAGGAUAGCACUAUAAACGGAAACUUUGAUGGAAGAGUUAAUUCCUCGCAAACAAACAACCGAGGCCUCUAUUAGAAGAAAUCGUAUAGUUUUCGGAAGCUAUACUAAAUACGAUUGACCAUUAUUAGUAUAACCUACAUUUCUAAAUUAGGACUUCACUAAAUAACUUAUGGACUUAGCUAUGUAGAUACGUUAUUUUAGAAUUAGUGAGACCUUUGUUAAAACGACUUCGGGAAUUGUUCAUUACGAGUAUA